AGGCGGCCGGCUUUUAACAUGCAAGUCGAGCGGUAACAGAGAUAGCUUGCUAUCUGCUGACGAGCGGCGGACGGGUGAGUAAUGCUUGGGAAUAUGCCUUAUGGUGGGGGACAACAGUUGGAAACGACUGCUAAUACCGCAUAACGUCUACGGACCAAAGGGGGGGAUGCUUCGGCACCUCCCGCCAUUUGAUUAGCCCAAGUGAGAUUAGCUAGUAGGUGAGGUAAGAGCUCACCUAGGCGACGAUCUCUAGCUGGUUUGAGAGGAUGAUCAGCCACACUGGGACUGAGACACGGCCCAGACUCCUACGGGAGGCAGCAGUGGGGAAUAUUGCACAAUGGGCGAAAGCCUGAUGCAGCCAUGCCGCGUGUGUGAAGAAGGCCUUCGGGUUGUAAAGCACUUUCAGCGAGGAGGAAAGGUUAGUGGUUAAUAGCCACUAGCUGUGACGUUACUCGCAGAAGAAGCACCGGCUAACUUCGUGCCAGCAGCCGCGGUAAC
This 498-nucleotide ribosomal RNA is filed under the name uncultured Colwellia sp. RNAcentral describes it as "bacterial SSU rRNA". It matches the Rfam family "Bacterial small subunit ribosomal RNA", at positions 38 to 524 of the family's 1533-position model. The record is from RNAcentral. Lineage: Bacteria; Pseudomonadati; Pseudomonadota; Gammaproteobacteria; Alteromonadales; Colwelliaceae.